Long non-coding RNA from Bos grunniens (domestic yak), 1827 nucleotides. NCBI's taxonomy places the organism in Eukaryota, Metazoa, Chordata, Mammalia, Artiodactyla, Bovidae. The record is from Ensembl.
AUGGGGUCCUGGAAGGAGCCCACCCCUACAUGCCAGCGCACACGUGUGCGCACACACAGACACACACAGGCUCACACACACACACGGGCUGACAUACACAGGCUCUCACUUGCGCGCACACACACACACACACACACACGGGCUCUCACCCAUACAGACACAUGCAGGCUCUUACACAUGCAGACACACACACGGGCUCUCACACACACAGGCUCACACACACAUGGGCUCUCACAUACACACAUAUAUGGUCUCUCACACACGGGCUCACAUGCACACACACACACACGCUCUUACACACACCCCAUGGGCUCUCACACACACCCCACGGGCUCUCACACACACACAGGCUCACACACACAUGGGCUUUCACACAUACACAUACACAUACGGUCUCUCACAAACACACGGGCUCACACACACACAGGCUCACGUGCACACACACACACACAGGCUUACACACACACCCCAUGGGCUCUCACACACACACAGGCUUACACACACACACAGGCUUACACACACACACACCCACAGGCUCUCACACACACACAGGCUCACACACACACACACAUACGGUCUCUCUCACAAACACACGGGCUCACACACACACAGGCUCUCACGUGCACACACACACACACACACACACACACCCCAUGGGCUCUCACACACACACAGGCUUACACACACACACACGGGCUCUUACACACACACACACCCCAGGCUCUCACACACACACAGGCUCACACACACACACGCACAUACGGUCUCACACACAUACACGGGCUCACACACAGGCUCUCACAUGCACACACACACAUAUGGGCUCUCUCACACUCACACACACACACACACACACGGGCUCUCACCCAUACAGACACAUGCAGGCUCUUACACAUGCAGACACACACACGGGCUCUCACACACACACAGGCUCACACACACACAUGGGCUCUCACACAUACACACAUAUGGUCUCUCACACACGGGCUCACAUGCACACACACACACACGCUCUUACACACACACCCCAUGGGCUCACACACACACCCCACGGGCUCUCACACACACACACAGGCUCACACACACAUGGGCUUUCACACAUACACAUACACAUACGGUCUCUCUCACAAACACACGGGCUCACACACACAGGCUCUCACGUGCACACACACACACACACAGGCUUACACACACACACCCCAUGGGCUCUCACACACACACACAGGCUUACACACACACGGGCUCUUACACACACACACACACACCCACAGGCUCUCACACACACACAGGCUCACACACACACACACGCACAUACGGUCUCACACACAUACAGGCUCACACACACAGGCUCUCACAUGCACACACACACAUAUGGGCUCUCUCACACUCACACACACACACACACACACACACAGGCUCUCACCCAUACAGACACAUGCAGACACACACAGGCUUUCACACAUACACACACACACGGGCUCUCUCUCACACACAUACACACCGGCCCUGCGCCCCCCCGCCGCCACCCACACACACAUGGGCUCUCCCACGUCUGCACACUGGACCCCGAGCCCUGUGGAGGUGGCUGAGGGCUGUGAGGUGGCUGGGCUGGUGGAUGAGUGGCCCGGCCCGAGCUGGGGAGCGGGGCCUGGAGCUCCUGCCCGCUGGGGUGUGUGUGGGGAGCCUGGGAGCUCCCUGGCAGGGUGGGGCAGCUGGAACUCAGGGGCCCUGCUGCUGGGGCAGCUCAGGGCCUGUGCAGGCUCCGGCCCUGCACUCUUGCCCAGCCAGAGUGUGCGAGCUGUGGGAGCCUGCCAACCACAUCUGUGA